Molecule: long non-coding RNA, 1776 nt
Filed under: Macaca mulatta (Rhesus monkey)
Lineage: Eukaryota; Metazoa; Chordata; Mammalia; Primates; Cercopithecidae
Description: lncRNA (ENSMMUG00000054200.1)
Source: RNAcentral
CAAACUCCCUCCUUGCUUGGGGACCAGACUACCUUUGUAAAAGUAACAAAUUGGAGGCCAGGUGAGGUGGCUCACGCCUCUAAUCCCAGCACUUUGGGAGGCCGAGGCAGGUGGAUCAUCUGAGCUCAGGAGUUCGAGACCAGCUUGGCCAAGAUGGUGAAACCCCAUCUCUACUAAGAAUACAAAAAUUAGCCAGGUAUGGUGGCAGGCACCUGUAAUCCCAGUUACUUUGGAGGCCGAGGCAGGAGAAUUGCUUGAACCCGGGAGGCGGAGGUUGCAGUGAGCCAAGAUUACACUAUUGCACUCCAGCCUGGGUGACAACAGUGAAAUUCUGUCUCAAAAAAAAAAAAGAGAGAGAGAGAGAGAUGGGGUCUUCCUAUGUUGCCCUCCCACUUGGGAUUAUAAUCAUGAGCCACCACUCCUAGCAAGACUUGUGACUUCUCCAAAUGCUCCUAUAGAUAACACCACUAUUGUAGAACCUAAGGUUGGUCUUUUGAGAUGUUUUUCAGACCUUUGCAUUGUGGCAACCAACUGACCCUACCCAGACUCAUGACUUAGCUAGUCCUGUGGCCCGCCCCCACCCAGAGGUGGACUAAGCCCACGAUGGCCAUUUUCCACACCCCUAUGAUUGCAUCCCCAACCAAUCAGCAGCACCCAUUUCCCAGACCACUGCCCAUCAAACUAUCCUUCAAAAAUCCUAACCUCCAAGCCUUCAGGGACACUGAUUUGAGUGAUAACUCCAGUCCUCUUGUGUGACUGACCUCACAUUAAUUAAACUCUUUCUUUAUUGCAAUACCAUGGUCUCGGUGAGCUAGUUUCAUUUGUGCAACAGGCAAGAAGAACCCACUGGGUGAUUACACCACUUAAUCUCUCUGAGACUCACUGAGUUCAUAUGUGAAAUGGGGCUAGUAAUGCUCACAGUGUUCUGAAGAUGAAAGAGAUAAAAACAUUAUAGGGGGUAGGUGUUUCAAUGACCAGGAUUUUCUUGUCCUCUGACCAAAGCUCACUGUUCCCGGGAUUCAGGUGUUUUUGUCAAUAGUAUCGAAAGUCUUAAAGUUGAGGCACAUAUCUGCAGACUCAACAUUGUUCCUGCAGGAUUUUCCCAAGGGAUAAAGUAACAGCAUAUUGUGCUAAGACUUACAAACAUCACCGUUGAGUGUAACCAAAAAUUGGAAACCAACCAACAGUAGGGACUAAUUUCACAAAUCAUAGUGUACCACUCCCAUAAACCAUGUAUAAGGGUCAAGGGAAAAGUUCCCCUUCUCCUCUGAAGGGUCACUGAAAAAUCAACUGACAAAAGGCAGAUUAAUAGGAGAGUAUACAAAAUGUAUUUUAACAUGUAUAACUAGGGGGCACCACAGGAGGAUGAUUACCCAGUAACUCAAUGGGAUACAGAAGCUUAUAUACCCUUAUUCAUAGGGGAUGGGGUAGAUGGGGAAUGCAGUCAAUUUCCCACAUGGGGAAAUGCAAAUGAUGAUUAGGGAGAAUGAGUGGACAGAAAUUAGCUUAUAAAUGAUUCUCUUCAGAAUCUGAAUGAGCCGACAGGCAGGCAUUAUCUUGUGAAAAAGCUCAUACAUGUGUGGUUGCAUUCCUCAGUCUUAUUUUCUGGGAUAGAUAAUGAGAUUUCAGGGAGGGGAGGAAGGGAAUUUGUGAUACCAAUAACAAUGUGUAGUCAAUCAAUAGCUUAUGUUAUCUUAAUAUAAAUUCUUGAUAAACAUCUUAGGAAUGGCCUCUUCUUUUUUCCUUAAAAACCUAACUGUAACUGCUGGUAAUCAG